GAAUGUUCUAAGAUGCUAGUACAACAGUACCAGAUUGACUUGAGUGACUUAUGACUGUUGCAUUUGUAUGCAGGAAAUGCAGAGAGAUGCCAAAAAGCAUGGCUUAUAGAAGGUUAUGGACUAUUUACAUUGUAUCUUGUGAUGUUGACAGCUGCAGCAAAUGAUCUAGGUUGAUACUAUGAUAUUGGUUAAUGAGAUGUAUAGUAUAUAAAGAAUUACCUGGCUUUGAUAGGAGAUUAAGUUGUCUGGGUCUGUGUUAUUCAGGUAAAAACUGAUCACACUUUCAUUAUAGAGUAACACCUGAAGAUGAAUGAAACCACAAGGUAUUGUGCAACAGCUUGAGGAUAGGAUGGACAAUGCAAAGACAUGUAAAGAUGGAAUGUCAAGGAAAAAGGUGGAGGUCGUUCAUAAGGUGAUUGCUCUGUUAAUUAAGAAGUACCUGUUAGACUUUCGAUGUCAUCAUCGAUCAAACAGUUCAUAAACUGUCUUAGUGCUCCAUACUUGUUACACAACGUAAAUGUUUUAAAACUCAUCAUUCCAGUACUAUUCCAGAGAAGCUGAAGACAAGCACCUGCUCUACGUUGUAUGUCCAAUAAAGCCACCCAGACUGUUACAGAA
Long non-coding RNA from Mytilus trossulus (common blue mussel), 618 nucleotides. RefSeq lists it as uncharacterized. The transcript is spliced from 4 exons. Lineage: Eukaryota; Metazoa; Mollusca; Bivalvia; Mytilida; Mytilidae. The record is from RefSeq and is a predicted model, not a curated record.